Molecule: transfer RNA, 66 nt
Filed under: Simulium definitum
Lineage: Eukaryota; Metazoa; Arthropoda; Insecta; Diptera; Simuliidae
Also listed under: 1 other name
Description: tRNA-Tyr
Source: RNAcentral
UGAUUAAAGAAGAGAAAAUCUUCAUUUAUAGAUUUACAAUCUACCACUUUUAUCAGCCAUUUAAUC